ACGAACGCUGGCGGCGUGCUUAACACAUGCAAGUCGAGCGGUAAGGCCCUUUCGGGGGUACACGAGCGGCGAACGGGUGAGUAACACGUGGGUGACCUGCCCUCAGCUCUGGGAUAAGCCUGGGAAACCGGGUCUAAUACCGGAUAUGACUCCAUGACGCAUGUUGUGGGGUGGAAAGCCUUGUGCGGCUGAGGAUGGGCCCGCGGCCUAUCAGCUUGUUGGUGGGGUGANGGCCUACCAAGGCGACGACGGGUAGCCGGCCUGAGAGGGCGACCGGCCACACUGGGACUGAGACACGGCCCAGACUCCUACGGGAGGCAGGCAGUGGGGAAUCUUGCGCAAUGGGCGAAAGCCUGACGCAGCGACGCCGCGUGAGGGAUGACGGCCUGG
RNAcentral lists this ribosomal RNA (390 nucleotides) under uncultured bacterium. Its description in RNAcentral is "bacterial SSU rRNA". It matches the Rfam family "Bacterial small subunit ribosomal RNA", at positions 29 to 419 of the family's 1533-position model. The record is from RNAcentral.